This is a non-coding RNA of Acanthosepion pharaonis, 113 nucleotides long. The record is from the annotation of a GenBank genome assembly. Lineage: Eukaryota; Metazoa; Mollusca; Cephalopoda; Sepiida; Sepiidae.
UACGGCCAUAUCACGUUGAAACACUGGUUCUCGUACCAUCACAGAAGUUAACCAACGUCGAACUUGGUCAGAACCUAGAUGGGUGACCGCUCGUGAAUACUAGGUGCUGUAAG